RNAcentral lists this transfer RNA (86 nucleotides) under Felis catus (domestic cat). It matches the Rfam family "tRNA". Rfam says of the family: Transfer RNA (tRNA) molecules are approximately 80 nucleotides in length. Their secondary structure includes four short double-helical elements and three loops (D, anti-codon, and T loops). Lineage: Eukaryota; Metazoa; Chordata; Mammalia; Carnivora; Felidae. The record is from Rfam by way of RNAcentral.
GCCUGGGUGGCUCGGUCGGUGUAAGCAUCUGACUUCAGCUCAGGUCAUGAUCUCACAGUCCGUGAGUUCGAGCCCCGUCUCAGGCU